This 108-nucleotide small RNA is filed under the name Sinorhizobium medicae. RNAcentral's name for it is "Atu_C6". It matches the Rfam family "EcpR1". Rfam says of the family: Perviously named SmelC291, SmrC10, or Sra33. Lineage: Bacteria; Pseudomonadati; Pseudomonadota; Alphaproteobacteria; Hyphomicrobiales; Rhizobiaceae. The record is from RNAcentral. RNAcentral also lists the same sequence under 1 other name.
UUACCCCAUGAUGCUCAGGUCCGCCGCAUCUCCUGGGUCGUGGGGUCGGUCGGCUGGCCUCGGAUUUGCGGAUUCCUCGUGCUGCAACCGGAACCAGCCGACCCCCAU